RNAcentral lists this ribosomal RNA (466 nucleotides) under Penaeus japonicus. RNAcentral's name for it is "partial 16S ribosomal RNA". It matches the Rfam family "Bacterial large subunit ribosomal RNA", at positions 1856 to 2570 of the family's 2925-position model. The record is from RNAcentral. Lineage: Eukaryota; Metazoa; Arthropoda; Malacostraca; Decapoda; Penaeidae.
AGCCUGGCCACUGAUUGAAUUUAAAGGGCCGCGGUAUACUGACCGUGCGAAGGUAGCAUAAUCAUUAGUCUUUUAAUUGAAGGCUUGUAUGAAUGGUUGGACAAAAAGUAAGCUGUCUCAGUUAUAAUAAUUGAAUUUAACUUUUAAGUGAAAAGGCUUAAAUGGAUUAAGGGGACGAUAAGACCCUAUAAAGCUUGACAAUAAGUUAAUUAUAUUAUAAAUUGUUAGUAUAACUUGAUUUUAAUUGACGUUUGUUACGUUGGGGCGACGAGAAUAUAAUGAGUAACUGUUCUUAAAUGUUUAUUGACAAAUAUAAUUGGUAUUUGAUUGAUCCUUUAUUAAAGAUUAAAAGAUUAAGUUACUUUAGGGAUAACAGCGUAAUCUUCUUUGAGAGUUCAUAUCGACAAGAAGGUUUGCGACCUCGAUGUUGAAUUAAGGUAUCCUUAUGAUGCAGCAGUUAUAAAGG